CCUACGGGUGGCAGCAGUGGGGAAUAUUGGACAAUGGGGGCAACCCUGAUCCAGCCAUGCCGCGUGUGUGAAGAAGGCCCUCGGGUUGUAAAGCACUUUCAGUGAGGAAGAACGCCUGGUGGUUAAUACCCAUCAGGAAAGACAUCACUCACAGAAGAAGCACCGGCUAACUCCGUGCCAGCAGCCGCGGUAAUACGGAGGGUGCGAGCGUUAAUCGGAAUUACUGGGCGUAAAGCGCGCGUAGGUGGCUUGAUAAGCCGGUUGUGAAAGCCCCGGGCUCAACCUGGGAACGGCAUCCAGAACUGUCAAGCUAGAGUGCAGGAGAGGAAGGUAGAAUUCCCGGUGUAGCGGUGAAAUGCGUAGAGAUCGGGAGGAAUACCAGUGGCGAAGGCGGCCUUCUGGACUGACACUGACACUGAGGUGCGAAAGCGUGGGUAGCAAACAGGAUUAGAUACCCCAGUAGUC
RNAcentral lists this ribosomal RNA (465 nucleotides) under Vreelandella stevensii. Its description in RNAcentral is "partial 16S ribosomal RNA". It matches the Rfam family "Bacterial small subunit ribosomal RNA", at positions 338 to 795 of the family's 1533-position model. Lineage: Bacteria; Pseudomonadati; Pseudomonadota; Gammaproteobacteria; Oceanospirillales; Halomonadaceae. The record is from RNAcentral.